GGAGUGAUUCGCCGGCAUGAGACAGACCAAGAUGAACUUCUGGGACGGGAUGGAGCACGCCUUCAUUAUGCCCAGCAUCACCGCUGAAGAGCGAACAGCCAUCUGGGACGCCGUGGCCGGCUACGUUCAAGAACAGCUCUUGCUGCACAAGGGAGUCCGGAUUCCCACGCUCGGCUCCUUCGAUACUGUCCCUAAACAGGUCCAGGUUGGAGAUGAG
Molecule: long non-coding RNA, 217 nt
Organism: Haliaeetus leucocephalus (bald eagle)
Lineage: Eukaryota; Metazoa; Chordata; Aves; Accipitriformes; Accipitridae
Exons: 3
Source: RefSeq, a predicted model, not a curated record